ACAUCCCCAUCACAGCUCCCUCACAUCAUGAACAGGAAGUCCAUUCACAGCAUAAAUGUGCAGGUAGGCUACAGGUAGACUGACUACUGUUUCUAAAUGUUAAAGACUGCAUCAUAGUUCAACAUCUGUCAUUCUCUGCACUGUCCAGAUCAUAUGUGAUGCUGCAUACAUCAUUUCUAAUGUGGAGGCCAAGUGGUCUGGGUCUGUUCAUGACUCCAGGAUUUAUGGAGAGUCUAACCUGAGCAACAGACUGCAGCGUGGAGAGUUUGAUGGCCUUCUGCUGGGUGACAGGGGUUACCAUGCCAACCCAGGCUGAUGACCUCAUACCCUGACCCUGAACCAGGCCCCCAACAGAACUUCAACCGGACUCACUGCAGGACCAGAGCCCGGGUGGAGAUGACCAUAGGCCUGCUGAAAGCCCGUUUCCAGAGCCGACGUCUCCUCAGGGUGACCCCUGAGAGGGCCUGUGAUAUUACUGUGGCAUGUGUUGUUCUUCAUAAUAUUACCACUAUUAGAGGAGAGCAACACCCUGCCCUACAAACUGAAGACCCAGAUGAUGAGCCCAUCCACCUGCAGCUAUCCAGGACAGCAGAGCAGUCAGAGACACCGUAUGCAAUAAUCACUUUAGAGUUUAAGUCACCAUCAUCACCACCACAGCAAAUAAAGACAUGAUACACAUUUCAUUUGGUCUUCUUUAUUUCCUACAAAUAAAAGAGAUAGUUCAGUUCAUGUUCCAGUAGUUAACAUAAUUCACCUGUGACCAUCACCACCUCUAACUUGUGCUCCAGUAUUUCAAUUUCCAGAUCUGCCCUCCUAAUCUGUUUUUUGGAUUUUUCUCAGCAAAUGCAGUUUGUAAAUCUGUUUUACUGAUAACUGGGAAUACAUAGAGGACAUUAAAUUAUACAGUUGCACAUGAA
Molecule: long non-coding RNA, 917 nt
Organism: Acanthochromis polyacanthus (spiny chromis)
Lineage: Eukaryota; Metazoa; Chordata; Actinopteri; Pomacentridae
Exons: 2
Source: RefSeq, a predicted model, not a curated record